CAGCAGCCGCGGUAAUACGUAGGGUGCGAGCGUUAAUCGGAAUUACUGGGCGUAAAGCGUGCGCAGGCGGUUGUGUAAGACAGGUGUGAAAUCCCCGGGCUUAACCUGGGAACUGCGCUUGUGACUGCACAGCUAGAGUAUGGCAGAGGGGGGUGGAAUUCCACGUGUAGCGGUGAAAUGCGUAGAGAUGUGGAGGAACACCGAUGGCGAAGGCAGCCCCCUGGGCCAAUACUGACGCUCAUGCACGAAAGCGUGGGGAGCAAACAGGAUUAGAUACCCGCGUAGUCCCUGUCUCUUAUAC
This 301-nucleotide ribosomal RNA is filed under the name uncultured bacterium. RNAcentral describes it as "partial 16S ribosomal RNA". It matches the Rfam family "Bacterial small subunit ribosomal RNA", at positions 509 to 807 of the family's 1533-position model. The record is from RNAcentral.